CUGGGAUAAAAUGGUUUUAGCUGGGAUAAAGCCUCAUUGUUAACUUCAGAAUAGGUAGCAUCUCAAUUCUAGAAUGAAGCUAAAAUUCCUUUCUUUCUAUCGUCAGCCACUAUCCAGGUCACUUCUUCCAGAAGUCCCUGUCUGCCCCCUACCCACUUGACUUUGGUCCAAAGGUCCUCUAACUAGGCCACAGAAUAGGCUUUCUGAAGGCACUGCAAAAUAUGUUUCCUUCUGCUCUAGUAUACAAUUCAUCCAGCAAUCCUUUUCUUUCUAAACCAUAAAUCAUGGUGGGCAAGAUUGUGUGCGGACACCAGGAAACACAGCAGGCAGCCUGUAAUUAGCAAUGAAGAUUCAUCCUUCCAUCAUUUUUGCUGGACUGUGCAGAACUUGGGUUCACUGUGUCUGCAGUUUUCAAACUUUUCUACUGAGCCUUUCUCCUGGUAGCUCUGGGUCAAAAUAAAAGGAAACUAAUUUUAUCAUUAAUAAAAAGUUUGUUCUAACUUUUCAAUGUUUCCAUGGUUGCCAGUAGCUGGAAAAAUAGCUUUCAAAAAGAGGAAACCCUUUUACACAUA
Molecule: long non-coding RNA, 572 nt
Filed under: Equus caballus (horse)
Lineage: Eukaryota; Metazoa; Chordata; Mammalia; Perissodactyla; Equidae
Description: lncRNA (ENSECAG00000048149.1)
Source: RNAcentral